CGGCGUGCUUAACACAUGCAAGUCGAACGAACCUUCGGGUUAGUGGCGGACGGGUGAGUAACGCGUGAGAAUCUGCCCUCAGGAGGGGGACAACAGCUGGAAACGGCUGCUAAUACCCCAUAUGCCGCGAGGUGAAAUGAAUUUCGCCUGAGGAUGAGCUCGCGUCUGAUUAGCUAGUUGGUGUAGGUAAUGGCUCACCAAGGCGUCGAUCAGUAGCUGGUCUGAGAGGAUGAUCAGCCACACUGGGACUGAGACACGGCCCAGACUCCUACGGGAGGCAGCAGUGGGGAAUUUUCCGCAAUGGGCGAAAGCCUGACGGAGCAACGCCGCGUGAGGGAUGAAGGCCUCUGGGCUGUAAACCUCUUUUAUCAAGGAAGAAGAUCUGACGGUACUUGAUGAAUAAGCCACGG
Molecule: ribosomal RNA, 410 nt
Filed under: uncultured bacterium
Lineage: Bacteria
Description: bacterial SSU rRNA
Rfam family: Bacterial small subunit ribosomal RNA
Source: RNAcentral